ACAUUAACUAUUUUUUUAAUCAAACCAUUUCUGCAUUUAAUUAUCUUCAACAACCAAAAAAAUGCAUUAAUUGUCCUCCUCAAAACCCUACUAUAAAUACCAAUGACAACACACGACGGCGCCGCACCGGCCUUUACAGCGCCCCUCUCUGCAAAUUCUCUCUUUGCAGCCCUUUACAGCCCCCCUCUCUCCACCUCCGAUCCAUUUUUUUUUACUGCCAUAUCUACAAAGCAUAAGCAACAAUUUCUCUCUUCGCAGCCCACACUCUUUCUACUCUAUUGGGUUUUUUUUACCAUUCUACAAAUCUGAAAAAACAACUUUUUCACAGAAGAAUACAAUUAAUACAGAUAUCCAUUUGAAGAAGCGGUUGUUGCAGAUCUAAAGAUUCAGAUCGGCGAAUAUAUUAGAUCUACAUAACUACAUUGAAUCACAUCUUACAUUCACAAAAAAAGUUAAGUUUCCAAAAAAUGUUAAUCAUCUAAAUCUACAUUUAUGUAACUAAAAAACAUUUCAAUCCUCUAUAUCGCAGAUUUUCGAAGAAGUAGUGUUCAUCAUUUACAUCUACAACUACCUAAUAUAAGCAGCUUACCUUGAGACCCACAAAACCAUCAUCAAAGUUCUUCAAAUAGUGUUCUUAUUACAUGUAAAUAUCAAGAUCAAAUCUUCAAUGCAGAUUUUAUGGGGUUGCCUAGCUAAACUUGUGUGUACAAUUUCAAUUUGACCAUGCUUUUUUUCUAUCAU
Salvia miltiorrhiza (redroot sage) is the source of this 741-nucleotide long non-coding RNA. RefSeq lists it as uncharacterized. The record is from RefSeq and is a predicted model, not a curated record. Lineage: Eukaryota; Viridiplantae; Streptophyta; Magnoliopsida; Lamiales; Lamiaceae. The transcript is spliced from 3 exons.